Molecule: ribosomal RNA, 493 nt
Filed under: uncultured bacterium
Lineage: Bacteria
Description: partial 16S ribosomal RNA
Rfam family: Bacterial small subunit ribosomal RNA
Source: RNAcentral
AUUGAACGCUGGCGGCAUGCCUUACACAUGCAAGUCGAACGGUAACAGGUUAAGCUGACGAGUGGCGAACGGGUGAGUAAUAUAUCGGAACGUGCCCAGUCGUGGGGGAUAACUGCUCGAAAGAGCAGCUAAUACCGCGUACGACCUGAGGGUGAAAGCGGGGGAUCGCAAGACCUCGCGCGAUUGGAGCGGCCGAUAUCAGAUUAGGUAGUUGGUGGGGUAAAGGCCCACCAAGCCAACGAUCUGUAGCUGGUCUGAGAGGACGACCAGCCACACUGGGACUGCGACACGGCCCAGACUCCUACGGGAGGCAGCAGUGGGGAAUUUUGGACAAUGGGCGCAAGCCUGAUCCAGCCAUGCCGCGUGCGGGAAGAAGGCCUUCGGGUUGUAAACCGCUUUUGUCAGGGAAGAAAAGGUUCUGGUUAAUACCUGGGACUCAUGACGGUACCUGAAGAAUAAGCACCGGCUAACUACGUGCCAGCAGCCGCGGUAA